GUUCGCUUCAGGAGCAAAAAGACACUAAAACUGGAAUGAUACAGAGAAAAUUAGCAUGGCCUCUGUGCAAGGUGACAACACAAAUUUGUGAAGCAGUCUAUAUUUUU
Molecule: small nuclear RNA, 107 nt
Organism: Perognathus longimembris pacificus (Pacific pocket mouse)
Lineage: Eukaryota; Metazoa; Chordata; Mammalia; Rodentia; Heteromyidae
Source: RefSeq, a predicted model, not a curated record